CUGAUGCAGCGACGCCGCGUGAGGGAUGACGGCCUUCGGGUUGUAAACCUCUUUCAGUAGGGAAGAAGCGAAAGUGACGGUACCUGCAGAAGAAGGGCCGGCUAACUACGUGCCACCAGCCGCGGUAAUACGUAGGGCGCAAGCGUUAUCCGGAAUUAUUGGGCGUAAAGAGCUCGUACGCGGUUUGUCGCGUCUGCCGUGAAAGUCCGGGGCUCAACUCCGGAUCUGCGGUGGGUACGGGCAGACUACAGUGAUGUAGGGGAGACUGGAAUUCCUGGUGUAGCGGUGAAAUGCCCAGAUAUCAAGAGGAACACCGAUGGCGAAGGCAGGUCUCUGGGCAUUAACUGACGCUGAGGAGCCAAAGCAUGCGGAGCGAACAGGAUUAGAUACCCUGGUACUCCAUGCCGUAAACGUUGGGCACUAGGUGUGGGGGACAUUCCACGUUUUCCGCGCCGUAUCUAACGCAUUAAGUGCCCCGCCUGGGGAGUACGGCCGCAAGGCUAAAACUC
This 509-nucleotide ribosomal RNA is filed under the name uncultured bacterium. Its description in RNAcentral is "bacterial SSU rRNA". It matches the Rfam family "Bacterial small subunit ribosomal RNA", at positions 383 to 902 of the family's 1533-position model. The record is from RNAcentral.